This 158-nucleotide small RNA is filed under the name Arabidopsis thaliana (thale cress). RNAcentral's name for it is "ATSL165990". Lineage: Eukaryota; Viridiplantae; Streptophyta; Magnoliopsida; Brassicales; Brassicaceae. The record is from RNAcentral.
GAAUAUAUCAAGAGGUACAAGUAGUUUAUAGAGAGGUACAACUCAAUUCCAAAAGAGGUACAAAUUACUUCAAAACAAGUCAAGAAAGUACAAAUGACUCUAGAAAUAGGAAUUCAACAUAGUUUCAAACCUUAACAUACUUGUUGUAACAUAAAAAG